This 423-nucleotide ribosomal RNA is filed under the name uncultured marine bacterium. Its description in RNAcentral is "bacterial SSU rRNA". It matches the Rfam family "Bacterial small subunit ribosomal RNA", at positions 8 to 429 of the family's 1533-position model. The record is from RNAcentral.
AGAGUUUGAUCAUGGCUCAGGAUGAACGCUAGCGGCAGGCCUAAUACAUGCAAGUCGAGGGGUAAGGUUUACUUCGGUAAACACACGACCGGCGCACGGGUGAGUAACGCGUAUGCAACCUACCUAUAACUGGGAGAUAGCCCCGAGAAAUCGGGAUUAAUACCCCAUAAUAAUACUUUUUGGCAUCAUUUAGUAUUUAAAGCUCCGGCGGUUAUAGAUGGGCAUGCGUGACAUUAGUUAGUUGGUGAGGUAACGGCUCACCAAGACCACGAUGUCUAGGGGUUCUGAGAGGAAGAUCCCCCACACUGGUACUGAGACACGGACCAGACUCCUACGGGAGGCAGCAGUAAGGAAUAUUGCGCAAUGGAGGAAACUCUGACGCAGCCAUGCCGCGUGAAGGAUGACGGCCUUAUGGGUCGUAAA